This 537-nucleotide ribosomal RNA is filed under the name uncultured bacterium. Its description in RNAcentral is "bacterial SSU rRNA". It matches the Rfam family "Bacterial small subunit ribosomal RNA", at positions 8 to 526 of the family's 1533-position model. The record is from RNAcentral.
AGAGUUUGAUCAUGGCUCAGAAUCAACGCUGGCGGCGUGCCUAACACAUGCAAGUCGAACGCGAAAGGGGAGCAAUCCCUGAGUAGAGUGGCAAACGGGUGAGUAACACGUGGGUGACCUACCUUCGAGUGGGGGAUAACGUCCCGAAAGGGACGCUAAUACCGCAUAACAUCCUGCCUUUGAAGAGGUGGAGAUCAAAGCCGGGGACCGCAAGGCCUGGCGCUCAAAGAGGGGCCCGCGCCUGAUUAGCUAGUUGGUGAGGUAACGGCCCACCAAGGCGACGAUCAGUAUCCGGCCUGAGAGGGCGGACGGACACACUGGGACUGAGACACGGCCCAGACUCCUACGGGAGGCAGCAGUGGGGAAUAUUGGACAAUGGGCGCAAGCCUGAUCCAGCCACGCCGCGUGAGUGAUGAAGGCCCUCGGGUCGUAAAGCUCUGUGGGGAGGGACGAACCGCUGGAUGUGCAUAGCAUCCAGCAUGACGGUACCUCCUUAGCAAGCACCGGCUAACUUCGUGCCAGCCGCCGCGGUAAUUC